This 881-nucleotide ribosomal RNA is filed under the name uncultured bacterium. Its description in RNAcentral is "bacterial SSU rRNA". It matches the Rfam family "Bacterial small subunit ribosomal RNA", at positions 60 to 908 of the family's 1533-position model. The record is from RNAcentral.
AGUCGAGCGGGACAUUGUGGGUAGCAAUAUUCGCAAUGUCUAGCGGCGAAAGGCUGCGUAACACGUGGGCAAUCUGCCAUGAAGACCGGGACAACCUGCUGAAAGGCGAGCUAAUACCGGAUGUGAUAAUCCAUUGGCAUCUUUGGAUUCUCGAAGUUGGGUUCCGCAAGGUCCAACACUUCAUGAUGAGCCCGCGGCCUAUCAGCUAGUUGGUGAGGUAACGGCUCACCAAGGCAAAGACGGGUAGCUGGUCUGAGAGGACGAUCAGCCACACUGGAACUGAGACACGGUCCAGACACCUACGGGUGGCAGCAGUCGAGAAUUUUUCACAAUGGGCGAAAGCCUGAUGGAGCGACGCCGCGUGGGGGAUGAAGGGCUUCGGCCUGUAAACCCCUGUCAUUCGUGAACAACAUUCAUUGCUGAAACGGCAACGAAUUUGAUAGUAGCGAAAGAGGAAGGGACGGCUAACUCUGUGCCAGCAGCCGCGGUAAUACAGAGGUCCCAAGCGUUGUUCGGAUUCACUGGGCGUAAAGGGUGCGUAGGUGGCGGGGUAAGUUCGGUGUGAAAUCUUCGAGCUCAACUCGGAAAAUGCACUGAAAACUACCUCGCUUGAGGGUCGGAGGGGAGACUGGAAUUCUCGGUGUAGCAGUGAAAUGCGUAGAUAUCGAGAGGAACACCAGUGGCGAAGGCGAGUCUCUGGACGACUCCUGACGCUGAGGCACGAAAGCUAGGGGAGCAAACAGGAUUAGAUACCCUGGUAGUCCUAGCCGUAAACGGUGCACGUUUGCUGUGAGAGGAAUCGACCCCUUUCGUGGCGAAGCUAACGCGUUUAAACGUGCCGCCCUGGGGGGAGUACGGUCGCAAGAUUAAAACUCAAAGAA